CAGCACCUCAAGUGGUCAGGAUGAUUAUUGGGCCUAAAGCAUCCGUAGCCGGCGCUGUAAGUUUUCGGUUAAAUCUGUACGCUCAACGUACAGGCUGCCGGGAAUACUGCAGCGCUAGGGAGUGGGAGAGGUAGACGGUACUCGGUAGGAAGGGGUAAAAUCCUUUGAUCUAUUGAUGACCACCUGUGGCGAAGGCGGUCUACCAGAACACGUCCGACGGUGAGGGACGAAAGCUGGGGGAGCGAACCGGAUUAGAUACCCGAGUAGUCC
RNAcentral lists this ribosomal RNA (270 nucleotides) under uncultured archaeon. Its description in RNAcentral is "partial 16S ribosomal RNA". It matches the Rfam family "Archaeal small subunit ribosomal RNA", at positions 477 to 747 of the family's 1478-position model. The record is from RNAcentral.